AUGGCGUUAGCGGCAGGUAUGCCGACCAAGCGUCCCGUCUUCUUCCUCGUCUCUCUCGCCACGCUCCUCCUCCUCGUCUCUGCUGUCCAGUGCUAUGACGGCCGCCACGCCGUCACGCGCUCCGCCAUGGCGCGCCGGUCCCGUCCGGGGAUCCGGCACGUGCACCACCGCCGGACUGGGGUGCCGCACCGGUACAUCCUCGCGGAGAAUACAACCUCGAGCAGCGGUGGUGGCAAACAGAAGAACAACAGCUCGCCGCCGACGAGGAACAACAACACCGCGCCGCCGACGGCACCGGCGGCCGAGCAGGGCAAGCACCACCGCAACCACAAGCACCGCAUCCGCAACUGGAUCAUCGGGUUCGUGGUCGGGUCCCUCGCAGGCGUCAUUUCGGGGCUGGGCGUGUCCGUGCUGUUCCGGCUCGCGCUCAACUGCAUCCGCGGGCGGUACCGGACCAAGUCCGGCAUGGUGAUCUUCACCCCGAAGCUGAUCAAGCGGGCGGACCACCUGGCGUUCCUGGAGAAGGAGGACAUACUGUCCUCGCUGGCCGUGAUCGGGCGCGGCGGGUGCGGCGAGGUGUUCAAGGCGCAGCUCCCCGUGGAGAGCGAGGGCGAGGAGCCCAAGUUCAUCGCCAUCAAGAAGAUCAAGAAGCAGGUGGGCGACGGGCACGGGCAGAACAACCUGAGCGACGAGGAGAGCCGGCAGCUGGACAAGUGGUCGCGGCAGAUACAGUCGGAGAUCCGCACGGUGGGGCACAUCCGGCACCGCAACCUCCUGCCGCUGGCGGCGCACGUGCCGCGGCCGGACUGCCACUACCUGGUGUACGAGUACAUGAAGAACGGCAGCCUGCACAACGCCCUCAAGGCGACGCCGUCGGAGGAGGACGGCGGCAGCGGCGGCGCGGUGCGGCUGGCGUGGCCGGCGCGGCUCCGCGUGGCGGUGGGCAUCGCGUCGGGGCUGGAGUACCUGCACGUGCUGCAGCAGCCGCAGAUCAUCCACCGCGACCUGAAGCCGGCCAACAUCCUGCUGGACGACGACAUGGAGGCCCGCAUCGCGGACUUCGGGCUGGCCAAGGCGAUGCCGGACGAGCACACCCACGUGUCGACGUCGCACAUAGCCGGCACCAUGGGUUACAUCGCGCCGGAGUACCACCAGUCGCUCAAGUUCACGGCCAAGUGCGACAUCUACAGCUUCGGGGUGAUCCUGGCGGUGCUGGCGACGGGGAAGGAGCCGACGGACCAGUUCUUCGUGACGGAGGUGGAGGAGGUCGGGCUGGUCAAGUGGCUGCGCCGGGUGGUGCAGAACAGCGACUACGCGGAGGCCAUCGACCCCGCCAUCGCCGGCGCCGGGCACGAGGAGCAGAUCAUGCUGGUGCUGCGCAUCGCCGUGUUCUGCACCGCCGACGAAGCCAAGGAGCGGCCCGAGGCCAAGGACGUGCGCUGCAUGCUCGCCCAGAUCAAGAACUAG
RNAcentral lists this ribosomal RNA (1467 nucleotides) under Triticum aestivum (bread wheat). Its description in RNAcentral is "partial small subunit ribosomal RNA". Lineage: Eukaryota; Viridiplantae; Streptophyta; Magnoliopsida; Poales; Poaceae. The record is from RNAcentral.